Molecule: long non-coding RNA, 2745 nt
Organism: Aegilops tauschii subsp. strangulata
Lineage: Eukaryota; Viridiplantae; Streptophyta; Magnoliopsida; Poales; Poaceae
Source: RefSeq, a predicted model, not a curated record
AAUCUCCUCGAGCACUCAUUCUCCGUUCGGUUCGCACCCAGCGCCUCCUCCAGUUAGGGUUACCGCCGCCGCCCUCCCCCAUGCUCGUGCCCUCCAUCUCCCGCCCCGAGCUCCAUCUCCUCCACCCGCGGCCUGCGCUCCGUCCUUCCCUCCUUGUUGGCACUCAACCCGGCGAGCGUGAACCGUCGCAAACCGCAGCAGAGGGAGACGUGGAGAGGACAUCAGGCCGAGGUUUCCUGGAACUAAUAGAUGGAGGGGUGUUAGGGCUGAGAUUGGGAUCGGAUGAAUUGCUCUGUCGAUUUUGUUCACUGUUGUGUAGUAGUAUGUACAGCAACAACAUUACUGUAACGGUGCCUUUUUGUUUCAUGAAUAGAUGUAGUUUUCCAUGCAUUUCUCUCUGGUUGAAUAGAUCGAUUAAGUUUCUCCUUUAAUUUUCAUGUGGAAGAACACAGGGUUUCUCCCACAUUUAUCCAUAUAUUACUGCUCGUUUGCAUUGAGCUAAUUGAUUUUAACGGCGUGUAGGCAAUGCAUGGCAAGAACAACCAAAGCUGCUCCAUCUGAGAAACAAGAGUCAGAAUAUGUAGCUACUGUUGCAGAAGGAGUAUGUACUGAAGUAGCAGAUGAAACUUGUUCCUAGCAGAUUUGAAAAUUCUGGGGAUGAGAUAGAUUGCAGCAGUACACCCUAUCACCUGAUGGAGAAAAGGAGCCUAGAGAAGAACGUUUAGCUUAAACUGGAACUGAGGUACUUCACACCUUAUUAGGGAUGUCUUCUACCAAAUGGGCUUUUGACCGAUGAGGACAUAGUAGCACUCUCGGGUGACCAGGUGCGUCUUCGGCUGUAUCCUUGAAAUAUUUCACUACUUAUGUUGGAUGGAGGAUUAAUCUCAUAUUUGCAAGGGAUAUUUACUAACGAACUACCAAAAAUAUAUAGCUCUUUAUUGUCACAAGUUUUUAUAUCAAAGGCACACACGAGCAUGUCUGUUAGUAGCAUUCUGUUCGAAGUCUACGGGAUUUCAUAUGCAGAAGUGAGUAAGAAAGUAAAUAUAAGAUUGUUCUUUUCCUGCGAAAGUUUUCAUUGUGCAGGUUUGCCUACUUAAUUCAAGUAGUACUGGUGGACUAACAUCAUACAUCCAGAAUGCCAAAAGGCUUUUGGUCGAUCCAAGGCAACUUUAAGAUAUGUAGUCUGGCUGAUUAUGAAAUAUACCAAAAAGUGAGUACAACUUAUGUUAAGUUAUAGUCCGGAGUCUUCAUGUUGAUUUAUUUGAAAUUUUGAAAUGAUUAUAAUUGGAAGUGUCACCUCAAUUUCUGAGAGUAGUUGCAUCCUAAUGAUUUACAUCCUCUUGAUGUUUUCUCUGAAAUUUUCACAUCCUAUAGAUGAACUUUUUCUACUGAAUUUUUUACCCUCUUGGUAGUUGAUGUUCUGAAGUUGAAGCAGCUAUGGUCUACAGAUUUAUAAGUACCCCACGUAAUGAAGAAGUAGAUGUUUCAAAGGAUGGAUCGGGUCUUUUUGUAUCUGAACUGAUGCCGACUUGCCGCUACCAAGGAAAAUGUGAUUUCCCGUCUAUUUUGCAGCCUGCAUUAGUAGUUCAAGUUUAUACCCUUGAAUAAUUUUCUUCAUGAGCAAGUGGUGACUCUUGGUUCAUCUACUUUGUAGUUAUCACCUUCAGGUGUCUCUUUAUUUUAGAUUGUGGAGUAAUCACAUGAUCUGUCAAAAUAUUGGUUUGGCAGAAUAGAGUAGUUGCUGAAGAGAUCAAUUGGAUUUUGCUGGUCUGGACUCCUAAUAAUUUUUACCAUUUGCUAAUUGCGGAACUAUAUGUUGACUAGAAAAGUUAAGCUAAUAUGAUGUUUGUCAUUUAAUACACAUCAAUAUCAUACGAGAAAACAAUUAUAUUCAUGUUCCUACAUAUGCUCGUGUCAGGAGUGGACCAGUGCAUUGGCAUUCAGAUAGUGGACCAGUGCAUUGACAUUUAGGUGGGAAUACUUCUGAUGAUCGAGAUAUUCAUCAAGUGGGCAUGCCUCAUAUUCAUAUUUAUCUUUCUCGAUUUGAAUACACGCUGUACAAAUAUGUUUGAAUUAAAUUCACAUAAGGGAGUAUUAAUUUUUUAAGAUAUUUGUAAUAAAUAUGAGCUGGCUAGCUACUAAGAUGUCCUAUUGUCGGAUAUCUGGACUACCAUCACUCGAUGAAAUCUUAUUUGGUUCUGUUUAAUGCAAUGCAGGUGGAGAACAUGUCCUUCUUUUAUGCUGAGCUCAUGUUGGUUCAUUACACAAUGCUUAUCUACUCACCAUCUGUCAUUGCAGCAAUAUCCCAAAGUACCACAUCGGCUUGGCCGAGUUACAAUUGAUGCUAGGGCGGCGAGAUGCAGAGGAGCCCUGGGUACAGAACUACAGGUGAAGGGAGGUGGGUGGCAGGUCUAGCAACUAUGGUCAGGGUGGCUGUGUGAAGAACAGAGAGGUGGGCGAGGAAGUGUUGAACUAACUGAUGCUAUGGAGAUGAAUCAGGGAGAUUAGAGGAGAGAAGUUGAGAGAGAUUUAGGCGAUGUUCAGUAGAAGAGGAUUUUUUCUAGCUAUGUGAGCCCAAGAUGUGCGAUGCUCAACAAGGUAUGUGUCUGUUUUGGAGGUCGCCCGCCUUUUGGAGCAUAUUAGACUUUGAUUUCAAUCGAUGCUGUGCUCUGGCAUCAACCUUGUAAGAUGUCACCUCUCAGUUAAUAUAGAUAUAUUAGCAUGCUAUAUGCUUUGACGACUGAA